RNAcentral lists this ribosomal RNA (1552 nucleotides) under Salmonella enterica subsp. enterica serovar Montevideo str. 42N. RNAcentral describes it as "bacterial SSU rRNA". It matches the Rfam family "Bacterial small subunit ribosomal RNA". The record is from RNAcentral. Lineage: Bacteria; Pseudomonadati; Pseudomonadota; Gammaproteobacteria; Enterobacterales; Enterobacteriaceae.
AAAUUGAAGAGUUUGAUCAUGGCUCAGAUUGAACGCUGGCGGCAGGCCUAACACAUGCAAGUCGAACGGUAACAGGAAGCAGCUUGCUGCUUUGCUGACGAGUGGCGGACGGGUGAGUAAUGUCUGGGAAACUGCCUGAUGGAGGGGGAUAACUACUGGAAACGGUGGCUAAUACCGCAUAACGUCGCAAGACCAAAGAGGGGGACCUUCGGGCCUCUUGCCAUCAGAUGUGCCCAGAUGGGAUUAGCUUGUUGGUGAGGUAACGGCUCACCAAGGCGACGAUCCCUAGCUGGUCUGAGAGGAUGACCAGCCACACUGGAACUGAGACACGGUCCAGACUCCUACGGGAGGCAGCAGUGGGGAAUAUUGCACAAUGGGCGCAAGCCUGAUGCAGCCAUGCCGCGUGUAUGAAGAAGGCCUUCGGGUUGUAAAGUACUUUCAGCGGGGAGGAAGGUGUUGUGGUUAAUAACCGCAGCAAUUGACGUUACCCGCAGAAGAAGCACCGGCUAACUCCGUGCCAGCAGCCGCGGUAAUACGGAGGGUGCAAGCGUUAAUCGGAAUUACUGGGCGUAAAGCGCACGCAGGCGGUCUGUCAAGUCGGAUGUGAAAUCCCCGGGCUCAACCUGGGAACUGCAUUCGAAACUGGCAGGCUUGAGUCUUGUAGAGGGGGGUAGAAUUCCAGGUGUAGCGGUGAAAUGCGUAGAGAUCUGGAGGAAUACCGGUGGCGAAGGCGGCCCCCUGGACAAAGACUGACGCUCAGGUGCGAAAGCGUGGGGAGCAAACAGGAUUAGAUACCCUGGUAGUCCACGCCGUAAACGAUGUCUACUUGGAGGUUGUGCCCUUGAGGCGUGGCUUCCGGAGCUAACGCGUUAAGUAGACCGCCUGGGGAGUACGGCCGCAAGGUUAAAACUCAAAUGAAUUGACGGGGGCCCGCACAAGCGGUGGAGCAUGUGGUUUAAUUCGAUCCAACCCGACGAACCUUACCUGAUCGUGACAUCCACGGAUGUAUUCAGAGAUGGAUUUGUGCCUUCGGGAACCGUGAGACAGGUGCUGCAUGGCUGUCGUCAGCUCGUGUUGUGAAAUGUUGGGUUAAGUCCCGCAACGAGCGCAACCCUUAUCCUUUGUUGCCAGCGAUUCGGUCGGGAACUCAAAGGAGACUGCCAGUGAUAAACUGGAGGAAGGUGGGGAUGACGUCAAGUCAUCAUGGCCCUUACGACCAGGGCUACACACGUGCUACAAUGGCGCAUACAAAGAGAAGCGACCUCGCGAGAGCAAGCGGACCUCAUAAAGUGCGUCGUAGUCCGGAUUGGAGUCUGCAACUCGACUCCAUGAAGUCGGAAUCGCUAGUAAUCGUGGAUCAGAAUGCCACGGUGAAUACGUUCCCGGGCCUUGUACACACCGCCCGUCACACCAUGGGAGUGGGUUGCAAAAGAAGUAGGUAGCUUAACCUUCGGGAGGGCGCUUACCACUUUGUGAUUCAUGACUGGGGUGAAGUCGUAACAAGGUAACCGUAGGGGAACCUGCGGUUGGAUCACCUCCUUACCUUAAAGAA